CGGGACGGGUGAGUAAUGUCUGGGAAACUGCCUGAUGAGGGGGAGUAACUACUGGAAACGGUAGCUAAUACCGCAUAACGUCGCAAGACCAAAGAGGGGGACCUUCGGGCCUCUUGCCAUCGGAUGUGCCCAGAUGGGAUUGGCUAGUAGGUGGGGUAACGGCUCACCUAGGCGACGAUCCCUAGCUGGUCUGAGAGGAUGACCAGCCACACUGGAACUGAGACACGGUCCAG
Molecule: ribosomal RNA, 233 nt
Filed under: uncultured bacterium
Lineage: Bacteria
Description: partial 16S ribosomal RNA
Rfam family: Bacterial small subunit ribosomal RNA
Source: RNAcentral